UGUCUUUUUGGCCUCCUCCUAGGAUAACGGCACGGAGAGCAGGAAGGGGAUAAAGUGGCCCAGCCCUCUCACCUUAAGCCUUCCGAGGGCGCGAGCUGGUGUUUUAUGUGCGUGUGAGGAGCGGUUGAAAGCAGAGGCGAGUGGGAGAGUGGAAGGCGAGAACUCAGGUUCGAAACCUACUUCUGAAGCAACUUAUUGUCAUACUCCCUGGGCCUCAGUUUCCUGGCCUGAAAAAGGAGAGUCUCUCUCUGCUCGAGGUCCGUGAGCCGUGG
Molecule: long non-coding RNA, 272 nt
Filed under: Sarcophilus harrisii (Tasmanian devil)
Lineage: Eukaryota; Metazoa; Chordata; Mammalia; Dasyuromorphia; Dasyuridae
Description: lncRNA (ENSSHAG00000024356.1)
Source: RNAcentral